CUGAAGAGAGAAGGAGCAAGCCUGUUUGUGAGAAUGGAGAGCUGUUUGUGCAAUUAGCAAGGCAUUUUGAGCUGCAUUUCUAGUUUCUGUGGACGUGUUUAACAACGUCUUAUGAAAGAUAACAGGGUCAUUUCAAGGUCACAAAGGUCAGUUGCAUAAUUUUCUGUCUGGGGGAAAAAAUCACUUCUUUAAAAAAAUGUAUAACAGAACAGUGGCAGUAAAUUCUGUCUCCUUAGCAUACGGAAUAUGUUAGCUUCUGUUCAUUUAUGGAAAAAGUGAAGUGAAUGAAUCCUGUAGGUGGAGGACUCAGGAUGUGACCUGUUCCACCCUCCCAUCCCACACACCAUCCUGAGAGAGGCCCACUAUGGAGCUGCAGGCCUACAGGGAGCAUGAGAAGCCAAAGAGCACAACUCCACCAAAUGGGAUAAAGCUAUUGGUGAUGAUGGAAGAUGGCAGUUUCAUUCCUUCCAUCAUUAACACCCCUACAGCUUUUCCACCUACUGCUUGGAGCUGAUCCAGAGAGGAGAUGAGAGCCGCUGGCCCUGUCUGUGAUUCUGGGGGAGCUCAUCAUGCCGGCUUCACGGUGCAGCAUCAGGCAGAGCUGCGCGGGACUGUUGGUAUUGAGCAGGGAGGAGCGCCCCGGGCAAAAUCCAUCAAAAAGGAGCUGUUUGCACUGUGGGAAUAGACAUGAAUAAUCCAUGCUUUCUUUACCAUUUCCUCAGUAACUGUGUGUAUCCCAUUACAUUCUCAGUUGCCUUUUCUUCAAAUAGCCUAACAUUGUGUUUGUAUUAGCGUUUUUAGUGAAUAGUGAUAUUUUUUAAGUAUGAAGAAUUUAUCCACAUAUUUUUUGGGGGCAGCUGACUUAAGUAUAUGACAGGGGGAAAAAAGGAAAGAAAAAACAGUUUUAUCAUACUGAUAUCAAGAAGUCAUCAGGCUUAACAAAAAGAAAUGAUUUGGGAAUAUAUAAAACAUCUAAAAACUGAAGCAAGUGUCACUAAAAGUAUCAAUAAUUUCAGCUUUAAAUAACAACUUUCAAUUUUUUGUUUUUCUAAGCACAUUUCCACCAUUUACAUGCCAAUAAAGUGUUAUUUAAGUGUUA
Astatotilapia calliptera (eastern happy) is the source of this 1099-nucleotide long non-coding RNA. The record is from Ensembl. NCBI's taxonomy places the organism in Eukaryota, Metazoa, Chordata, Actinopteri, Cichliformes, Cichlidae.